This 2271-nucleotide long non-coding RNA is filed under the name Cricetulus griseus (Chinese hamster). RNAcentral's name for it is "lncRNA (ENSCGRG00015039535.1)". Lineage: Eukaryota; Metazoa; Chordata; Mammalia; Rodentia; Cricetidae. The record is from RNAcentral.
CUUAGGUAUGCACUUCGAGUAUAUUUGCUCUUUCCUCCCCAAAAGAGGGGGAUUGAAUGCACCCCUAGAACACAUACUCCGUUUCAAGACAAACAAGACUAACUGGAGCAAACCACCUGCAAGCGCAGCUCCGGGUCUUUCCGGCCUCCUGGGAAGACAUUCCAGUUCAGUACCCGGAGACAACUGGCUUCAUUCUGCAUUCGCUGAGCAUCUCUGAUCAUAUGGUGAAUUGGUGAAGGCAACAGAAAGAACAGGAACCUGUGGCCCACCAGCCAGAGCAACCUCUGUGAGCUUCAGCUUCUGCAUCUUAAAGGAAACAAACUAAAAAUGUGGCUUUAAAAUCAGAGCAACUCUUGCAUUUUAUUGUAUUGUUUUGUUUUUGGUGUUUUGGUGUUUUGUUUUGGGGUUGUUGGGACUUUGGUGCAAGAUACUAGGUUGAAAUUAAAAGAGGAGGAUACAUGACGAAUCUAUGGCUGCAGAGACCAUGUCUGAGCCAUGGGAAGGCUAGUGGGGCGUCCUGCCCAGCUCCAGUAACUGGAGGAUGUUCUCAGUGAUGGCCCUGCUCCUAGAAAGGACAAAUGAAGGGAAGAAGACACCUGGAAAUGAAGAUUGGCUCCAGAUACUGGGUUGCCAUAGGUGUUAGAGCUAUUGUUUCAUUAGAGUUUCAGAGGCAUUAAUGAUUUUUGAGGGCAGUUUUUAUUCAACUGAAUCUAUGAAUAAUAAAGAUUGUGGGGCAUAGGUGGCCCACACCUCCAAUCCCAGCAUUCAGGAGGCAGAGGCAGGCCAACCUCAGCAAGUUUGAGGCCAACUUGAUCUACAGAGUAAGUUCUAGGGCAGCUGAGGCUACAAAGAGAAACCUUGUCUCAAAAAACCAAAACCAACAACAACAAAAAUCAACCAACCAACCAACCAACCAAAAAAAAAAAAAAAAAAAAAAGUGAAGAUACAGGAAUUAUCUCCUCAAAUAAGACACCCAGGAAGGGCUACUCAGAGCAGGUGUUCAAGCUCCAAGCAUGCUCAGGGACCCAGGUUGCUCCCAGAUUUUGGCUUUUGUUCCAAAGCACCAAGUUCAUCUUCACAGUACCUCAGAGUCCACGGUGGCUACCAGAUUUCAUCCACUGCAAAUACCUGCAUUACAGGCUCAGCAGAGGAGGAAGAAGGAUCAGCAAGAAGGAUGUGCAACCCAGCUGGGCCAGUCUACCCAGCAGUCCCUCAUGAGUUACAUCAUUGGCCAGAACUCAGCACGAUGCAGACUCUGUUCUGGGCAGUGCCAUGGGCAGUUGAAAGAGUUCGCUUAAUAAGAGAACAUGGAUGGAUAUUGAGAGGUAGCGAGGGUCUCUGUGUCAGGGUGGUCGUUAAAAUUCUGGACUGGAUUCAUUUCUUUGCUGGUAAUGAAAUCCUGGGGGCUAGAUAGAGGAAAUGAGGACCUGGACUGCGGGGAUCAUGGGCAGAUGGGAAGAGCUUUACGAGGUUCUGCAGUUGAGCUGAGAAACUGGGAAUAGUGCCAAAGGGAAAAAGGUGAUGGCAUUAGUUCACAUUAUGUAGUCCCAGCAUGUGGGAGGGAAGCAGAGGCAGGCAGAUCUCUGUAACGGAAGCCAGACUCAUCUACAUACAGAGGGAGUUCCUGAACAGCCAAUGAUACACAGAGAAACCUUCUCUUAAACAAACAAACAAGCAAACACCCCUCUCCAAGGAAAGAAGGUCAUGGAUUAAGAGACCUGCUCACUGUGUCUGGUGGGCUGCACUGGUGCUCACUGUGUCCAGUGGGCUGCAUGGGGCUGGUGUGCUGGGCUGUUGGUGUGACAUUUCCCAGCAAAUACUGAACCUACUGUCUAUAAGUAUCCUGAUGUCUGUAGAUGUCUUAAUGUGUCACGUGUAUUUGGGGGGUUUCAUAAAUUGCUACUUGGGGUGCUCUUAAUUGUACUGGAAAAAGGGUUAGGGCUGCCUCUUUCUGCUGCAAUGCUCUUGGGCUUAAGGGUUCUGAGAGUCAUGGCCAAGUGAUGUUCUUGAAAAUGUACCUCCCCUUUUCCCUUUCCUUCCCCUUCCCUCCCUUUUUCUUUGCCUUCUGUAAUUCAGUUCCUGCCUGUCUAUCAGCCUGUGUGGUGGUAGGAAGCAUGAGCACAAUGUCCCAGCUACAAACUCAGAAUAACACAAAUUUUAAGAUGCUUUCCUGCAUAUUGUAUAUUUUAAUAAACUUUGAGUAUUUAACAAUAUAAGCCAAAACAAUCCACCAGCACCCCUCGACUAAAUCUGCCUUUGUCUUACAGCGGG